AUGGCCUCCGAGCGUCGCCUCUACGCGCUCAAGGCGUUCGACGACACCAAGGCGGGCGUAAAAGGUCUCGUGGACGCGGGCGUCACCGCGGUUCCUACCAUCUUUCACCACCCGCCGGAAUCCCUCGACGACGCACCAACUCAUCCCCAUGGCCACCAGUUCUCCAUCCCGGUCAUCGACUUAGCCGGCCUCGUGACACCGUCUGGACGGGCUUCGGUUGUGGGCGCGGUGAAGGCGGCCGCGGAGACGGUGGGCUUCUUCCAGGUGGUGAACCAUGGCGUGCCAGAGGCCGCCAUGUCCGGGAUGCUCGCGGCGUUGCGGAGCUUCAACGAGGAGCCGGCGGAGGCAAAGCGGCCGUACUACAGCCGGGACCCUGGCCGGCGCGCCAAGUACGAGAGCAACUUCGACCUCUUCCAGUCGCGGGCGGCCAGCUGGCGCGACACGCUCUUCAUGGAGAUGGCCCCGGAGCCGCCGCCGCCCGAGGAGAUCCCUCCGGCGUGCAGGCGCGUGGCGCCGGAGUACGUGGGGCUAGUACAACGGCUGGGCCGCACUCUCUUCGAGCUGCUAUCGGAGGGGAUGGGACUCCGGCGCGGGUACCUGGAGGAGGAGCAGGAGUGCCUGGAUGGGCUGAGCUUCGCCGGCCACUACUACCCUGCGUGCCCGGAGCCGCACCUGACCCUCGGAGCCGCCAGGCACUCCGACCCCAGCUUCCUCACGGUGCUCCUCCAGGACGCGGUCGGCGGACUCGAGGUGCUCGUUGACGACGACAAGAACCAGCCUGCGUGGGUGGACGUGCCGACAGCGGCGGGGGCGCUGGUGGUGAACAUCGGCGACUACCUGCAGCUCAUGUCCAACGACAGGUUCAAGAGCGUGGAGCACCGCGUGGUGGCCAAGAGCGUGGGGCCGAGAGUCUCGGUAGCCUGCUUCUUCCGGGCGGACGCGUCGACAAGGGUGCUUGAGCCGAUCGUCACGGACGCCGGCGGCGCGCGGUACAGGAGCACGACGGUGGCGGAGUUGGUCCGGCACUACAGGGCCAAGGGCCUGGACGGCGUCCCUGCACUCCAACACGUCAGGAUCUGA
This 1080-nucleotide ribosomal RNA is filed under the name Triticum aestivum (bread wheat). RNAcentral describes it as "partial small subunit ribosomal RNA". The record is from RNAcentral. Lineage: Eukaryota; Viridiplantae; Streptophyta; Magnoliopsida; Poales; Poaceae.